AACGAACGCUGGCGGCAGGCUUAACACAUGCAAGUCGAACGCCCCGCAAGGGGAGUGGCGCACGGGUGAGUAACGCGUGGGAAUAUGCCCUUCGGUUCGGAAUAACACAGGGAAACUUGUGCUAAUACCGGAUACGAUCUACGGAUGAAAGAUUUAUCGCCGAGGGAGUAGCCCGCGUAGGAUUAGCUAGUUGGUGAGGUAAUGGCUCACCAAGGCGACGAUCCUUAGCUGGUCUGAGAGGAUGAUCAGCCACACUGGGACUGAGACACGGCCCAGACUCCUACGGGAGGCAGCAGUGGGGAAUAUUGGUCAAUGGGCGCAAGCCUGAACCAGCCAUGCCGCGUGCAGGAAGAAGGCCCUCUGGGUUGUAAACUGCUUUGAUAGGGAACAAAUGCCACUUGCGAGUGGAGCUGAGUGUACCUAUAGAAUAAGCACCGGCUAACUCCGUGCCAGCAGCCGCGGUAAU
RNAcentral lists this ribosomal RNA (466 nucleotides) under uncultured bacterium. Its description in RNAcentral is "bacterial SSU rRNA". It matches the Rfam family "Bacterial small subunit ribosomal RNA", at positions 29 to 524 of the family's 1533-position model. The record is from RNAcentral.